RNAcentral lists this ribosomal RNA (253 nucleotides) under uncultured bacterium. Its description in RNAcentral is "partial 16S ribosomal RNA". It matches the Rfam family "Bacterial small subunit ribosomal RNA", at positions 524 to 776 of the family's 1533-position model. The record is from RNAcentral.
UACAGAGGGUGCGAGCGUUGUUCGGAAUUACUGGGCGUAAAGGGCGCGUAGGCGGCCUUCUAAGUCGAACGUGAAAUCCCCGGGCUCAACCCGGGAACUGCGUCCGAGACUGGAAGGCUUGAAUCCGGGAGAGGGAUGUGGAAUUCCAGGUGUAGCGGUGAAAUGCGUAGAUAUCUGGAGGAAUACCGGUGGCGAAGGCGGCAUCCUGGACCGAGAUUGACACUGAUGAGCGAAAGCCAGGGGAGCAAACGGG